Molecule: non-coding RNA, 22 nt
Filed under: Mus musculus (house mouse)
Lineage: Eukaryota; Metazoa; Chordata; Mammalia; Rodentia; Muridae
Source: RNAcentral
UGGAAUGAGAAUGUGUCUCCCC